This 318-nucleotide ribosomal RNA is filed under the name Triticum aestivum (bread wheat). RNAcentral's name for it is "partial small subunit ribosomal RNA". Lineage: Eukaryota; Viridiplantae; Streptophyta; Magnoliopsida; Poales; Poaceae. The record is from RNAcentral.
AUGCAAACGGAAAACGCGGACGACCAACAAACAGCAGAGACAAGCCUCCGUACGACGACCGAUCUGCAAAGAGCAAAACAUGUAUGGUUACAUCACAACUCGAUGCAAUUGUCGGAUGCGGCACAAGCAAACGAACACGGUUCUGCACUAUAUGCCGUGGCCCUGGACACAAAAGCACAACAUGUCCACAAAGAGGGGACACGCCUCAAAAGAAAAGGAAAGAACCGAAAUGCUCAAUCUGCGGAGUGGGAGGGCAUCGAAAGAAUACCUGCAACAAAGAUUGUGGCACUCAUGAUCCUGCUAUCAAACAGUGAUUAA